AGAGUGAGCACAUAUCCUCUGCUCAGGCAAAUCCUGUUCUAACCAGGGAAUUCCCUGACAGUACAGUGUCUGCUUCCAGUCUUGUCCUCCAUCCUAGCAGCAGAUGCAUGGUGGGGACUUGCCUUCUUUCAUGGUCACUCAGUGGGUGAUAAGCAGAACCCACUGGAUCACUUUGGCAGAGUGGGUUUAGCCUGCCCACAUCUGCUGUAGCACUGGGGCUCUGUAGGAUUCACUGCAGACUAUGGGUAUGGCUCUAUCUUUGAUGUAGCUCUGCACAGCCAGGCUUUAAAUCCCCUGGCUCUGGAGUCAAUAGCUGUGUAGCUCCUGCUUUCAGUGAUUUCAACCUGAACUGUGAAAACCACGCAAGAAGCAAGUUCUGGUAGCCCAGGUAGAGUUCCAUAGAGCAAAUGAACAUAGAUAUUGCCCUCAUGUCAAAUUUUGUUUAGGCAUGUCUGUAUUAGGCUAGGCACUUAUUUAAAAGAAACAGGGAUUUUAAAUGAACCUAUAAAGCAAAAGUAUUGUCUUGUCCCUGGUCAGAUCUUACAGUGAAGGAAUGAACAAUCCAUCUGGCUCUCCUUGGAGCCCAUGUAACUGCAGUCAGUGCUGGUAGACACUACUGUUAUUGCUGCAAGAAUCUGCCAACCUUCUUCCUUCCCUUCUAUUUUUUAUCUUUGCUCAAUAUCACACCUUGCCUGCUUUUAGAUUAUAAAGAUACCUUGUUCUCUUUCAUGCUGAAGCUGGAGGCAAGCAGGAUUUUCUGUUUACCCAACUUGCCAGAACACCACAACCACAGAAAAUACGAAAGAAAGGAGUCUAUAUGAGUAUGCUGUCACCUCUCACCUUAGCAACAUUUCCAAGUAGCACGGGACAACAGAGGAAGUGAGGGAAAAUAGUCUACCAGAAAUCAUCAGGAGCAUCUCCCUGUGCUACUCCCCAGUCUGCCAGUCUGGCCUGCUUUGUAUCAUCACCUAAUUGUCACACUGUACAUGAGGAGCAUGGCAACACUGCUCCAAGAGGUGAGAACAUUCUUAGGUCAGAUGAGGCUUUGAGGCUGACAGGGACUCUAGGAUAAAGCCUGGGCCCCACUCAAUGUUUCAGCAGCAUCGUAGGUUGCCACUUACCUUUUGGAAGCUAAGUUUCCUCAUAUGGCAGUCUGCCAGCAUCUGGUGUACAUCUCUGGUUCCCCUCUAAGCAGAGCAAAAGAGCGGUGAGAAAUAAAUGCAAUGUUAGGACAAUUGCUCUUCUUUUGGAGCAAUAGAUGUAUAAUGCAGCAGCAGUCAUGACAUUUGUUAACAAAUUUUGCUAGCCUUCUCUGACAAACAUUGGGUUUUCCAUCAUAUUAGGCCUAACAUACCACAUGAGGAGAACUCAGGAGUGUCAGGAUUGCCAUAAGCAUGUCUAGAUUUGCUAAGCAAUGCCCCCAAGUACUUCCAGGGAGCAGCUUCUUUCCUCCCUCCCCCUAAAUCAAUCCCUUGCAGAACUUGCCAUCCACAACUUUACAAGCCUGUGCUCGUUUGCGGCUGCGGCUGUGGUGUUGCAAACGCCUGCUCAACAGACUGACCCAACUAGCUGCAUAUCUCCUGCUUGCUCUCCCCUGCAAACCAGUCUGGCUACCCUGACAGCAGUUUCUAGCUGAAACUUGCCUUUGAAGGUGAACAGUUAGAUUUGUCUUUAAGCAAACACCCACCCACCUCUCCAUUGGACCCUGACUGCUCCCACGGCACAGUGGGUGAUGAGGUAACUGUACUACACUGCUUACCAAGGACAUGCUUCUGCCACCUACUUGGCUAAUAUUUAAUAUGAACAUGGCUUUACAAUUUCUCUCUCCUCCAGGAAACUAGGAACUUCAAAUGUGUGUGGAGCUGCUUUUUCUUAGAUAUUUGUCUGUUCCCUGCAACAGACAAAGCACAAUGCCUGGAUCCCUUACAUUAAAUGGGAACUAAAUCUUUUGGAAUUAGAUUUUUGGUAGUAGCUUUGGGUUUGUUUUUUCUUUCUUUUUUUUUUUUUUUUUGUCAGCUGUGACUAAUAACUUCCUAUAAAAAAAAAUCUCCCACAUAGUUGCUCAACUUCAGCAAACAGUGCAGAGAAAAACCUCAUGUGACUCAGAGGCUUUUGAUAAAGGAGAGAGCCACUCCAAAUUCCCUUCACUAUUUUGGUAGCAGCAGGAGAGCAUGUUGCCAAACCCCAACCUUCUGUUAUCAUGUUUUUUAUGCCGAAAUAUGGUGUAGCUGUACGAUAAAAGAAUAUACACUCAUACAAGUUCAUUCAAGGCUGAAUGAAAACUGCUGAAUGAGAUUGGACUUCUCCCAUUAAAUUGGCAGGGUGUUCUGUUCCUUCUGUUCAACUGCAGUUGCAUGGGUAGUUAAUUUAACUCAUCUUUUUCUCAGUUCUCUGCAAAUGGCUUUUUGUAGCCAGUUAAAAAUUAGAAAUGUAUUUAUUGCUGGAGAAAAAUAUUUCUGUACUAAAACACCAAAGGAAAGCAGACACUGUAGUUACUGCAUUUCAAAUUGUCCUGUGCUGUCAGGGUCAUAAGCUGUUUUCUAACUAUUUUAGAAGACCGAGAAACCAAAGAACCACGCAUGUCAGAUGAUGCUGGUAAAAUUAUCUUCAUUUGUUCUUUUAUAAAAGUGGAUAAUCUGUCUAAUGGCUGUAACCUUACAUGUACAGAUCCUGGGAUAGCCUGCCUGGUCUUGCCCCAGAAGCCAUCCAAACCAGCCACAGUGCAGGAGGGAAAGUACUGCACCCCUCAUUUUACCCACAGAGAAUGGAAGCAAAGGAAUUCAGAGUAACUUAUCUGAUGCUACAGAGCAGAUCUGUCCUACCUGAGAAUAGCACAUGGACCUCCUGAGUCCCAAGGAAGGAUGUAACAGCAUGGCUUCUUCUCUGACUACAGAAGAAAAGCCUUAACAGAUAGAUGGUUUUUUUUCUUCAGAUUUCUAUUUACAGCAACCAGGAUUUGCUGCACUUCCUAGUUCUCAAAACAUGCGUUUCUGAUAGCUGUGGGAAAAGGGAAAAACUACCUUUGUGAGCUCCUGGCUUUUCCCGGUUGUUGUAUCAGUCAUUUUUCUCCCACGUUCCUCCUUUGUGUGCACAGUGCUUUUUUUAUUCUCAUGAAGAUCUGUCUCACCCGGUAGUCCUGGUUGUGGGUGUAGAGACCAUGUUAUAGAAGAGUCAGUUUCUCUGAAAUGCAAGAGAGAGGACUUAGGAACCUGAGGGAGUCACUUUCUGCUCCCUGAGCAUCUUGCAAGGAAGCUGCACGUGAGCAGAGCAGUGCUGCAUUGAAGCCAUGUGCGUAUGGGCAUUUAUAUUUCCAAAUCAGGUAGGUGCAGUAAUUGAUUUAAUGACUUGUGGUGAGCAACUGUUGUCAGGCUGCACACCAGCACCUCUUGGUGAAUCAGUGCAAUCCAAGCUCACCACCUGCCACAAUAACAGUGUUGGCAUUUCCUGUGGUCUGCAGAGUGUCCCAUGCAGGAGCCACAUCAGGAGAGGCUCAAUGAGCCGGAGCAAGUCUCAGGCUGGAGCUGGUCUCUGCCAGCAUUGUAUGUCCUCACAGAAAGCCAACCUUUGCCUGUGUCUUUUGCCUGCAAGACCAACACGACAGUGGUAACCACAGCCCCUACAGAGAAGACCCCAGCCUCUUGGUCCCUAGAAAAGCCUUCUCCUCCAUGUCAGCCCACUCAGACCCCCAGCCGAAGUGUGCUUACCUGCCCUCCUUGCCUUGCUCUCUCGCCAAGCACUUUGCUCUUUGUGCCUGGAUCUCUUCACAGAUGGCUGCAUAUGGUUUAUCUGAAGGAUGCUCGCCCAUCACCCAGACCCAGACAUCAUUGUCAGCACCGAGUUUCCAUGUCACCGACUUCCCAUUGGCUGGAAAAGAAGCAGCUCUUUGGCAAAUGCUGUUUGCUGGAUAGCAGGGUCUGUGUCCCACCUGCUGUGCCCUACUGGCUGCUGUUGAUGACAGAGCCUCUCCAAAAGCAACUGUAUGUGGGGAAAGCUCAGCUGGGAGGCAGCCCACACUUCGCAUUUUUUUUCAUGCUACUGAAACCAGGUCAGUGAAGGAAGUCUGAGUCUGGGGGCAAAGGAGAAGGCUCACUACCAUUUGUUUUCUUGCUUUAAUUCCUGGCUACUGCCCUCCCCAAACUGUGUGAGGGUGAACCACCUGCAAGAGAACACUGUGGGGGAGAGCUGGGAGAAGAGUGCUAUCUUCCUAGCGUCAGCAUGCUGUGCAAUCCUGGUGAGCAGACUUCAGAUCUAAAGUCUCAGUGGGAACUGCAGAUCUGGUGCCUCAGGACAGAUAUUCAAAUCCCUGGUUAUGUUAAAGACAGAGGCCCCAUUUAGUGGGAAACUUAAUGAGAUGCACCUCCUGGGGGCAAAUAAGCCCUGUCUUCCCAGUUAGGGGAGCCAAGCAAUUUGGUCAAGGACAGAGUGUCUGGGUCAGGGAGUAAAACCAUAGUGCCUCUGGUCAAAACUACCCCAUUGCAGGUGGGUUUGGAGAUAAACCUGUUAUAUGUCCAUGGGAGAAGAAUUACUCUAAGGAUACAUUACCUCCUGUUUCCAGGGAGCAGUAGACUAGGCCAGAUAUGUGUCAGAGGGUGAAGCAGCCAGGAGGCAAAGACUUACCUUUUCUUGGCAGUGGCUUCUUUGCUGGAGCCUUGUCCACAGCAGCUUCUCUUUCCUCCCACCGUCUGAUCUGUUCCUGCCUCAUCUUGAAGAAGAGGAUCUGCUUCUGCUCCUCGCUGAGUUCUGCCAGCAGGUCAGGAUCGAUGUACAUGUCUGAUAAUAUCUGUUUCAGCAUGGCUGCAGGUUUCAGUUACACGUUUGUGGCAGUGAUCUCCAGGGAUAAGAUCCUCUUCCUGGCUCCAACAAGAAAGAGUCCCUGCCCGUCUGAGCCUGGAGUAGGAAUGCAGGCGCGCCAGAGUAAUUAUGCUUCUAUCUUUUUUUUUUAGCUCAAACUUCCUGCGCAGACCAGAAAAGUAAAUAAGUAUCUUAAAACCUGCUGUUAAGAUUCCUUGAAAUAGGAGGUAAGCUCAGCUCCCACGCAGCCCUUCCCUGCUUUGCAAGGAGAGCUGGCUAGAAGGGGAGAGUCCAGGAGUGGGGAGGUUGUGUUGAUACUCUGAUAAACCCAGCUGAUAGUAUAUCAAAGAGAGAGAGCACUGCCUGUUAGUCAUCAGAGGUGCGGCUGAGUUGUGCCCAAGUAAACAUUCCUGCUGGGCAAGGAAUCAAUGAACCCAUGACUAGACGGCUCCUCCUCCUUCCAAACAGGAAAACUUUGAUGAUCAAAAGCCCAGCCUGCCUUGUUUUGCCAAAGAAAGAUGGGGAGGACUUUUGGCUCUGCUUUUGAGGUGGGAGUGGGAAUUUCGGAGUGCUCCCAUCCAUCAAAGGCAGCCUCCCAGCAAGUCAAGGGAGCACAAGUAGUGCAGCUGGUUUGAAGAAAGACAGCGUGGAUGGUCAGUGUCUGAGACAGCUCCCGGUCUGACACAUCUUGCUGAUGCACCUUGCUCACGUGGUGAGCGUGGCAUGGGACAUCCCUGCCUGACAGGAUGAAGUGGAUGGGGAGAAGGAGCACUCCUGUUCCUGCACAGGAUGUUGGCUUGUGUAUAGUGCACACUGGUGAGGUACUGACACCUGCCCAGCUGUGCUAUGUGCUCAUGGAUUUACAUUUACAAAAAAUGGGAGCUCUCCUGUCACUUAGGAACUUAGCAAAUGAGAAAAUAGAAAUGUGGACUAAAGACCUUGAAACCAGUUCUUUUCCUUAUCUUAUCUGGAUAAACUCGAGGAGACCAGGAGAUUGGUUGGCAGUGCUUUUGGUGACACAGGGAGGCUGACAGUCAUGUGUGAAGUGCAAGACCAGAGCACGGGGGCUGGUUGGCCAGGGGUGGCAGGGGCUUCCUGGACAAAUUCUUGAGAAAUGUUGUAGUCAUCAGGCUACAAGGAGAUUAAGCCAGUGGGUUUAUUCAUGUCCUUCUGCACAAAUCUUGGGAGUCUGAGGAACAAGCAUGCUAGGACAGAGCACAGUAGGUGGGAGGAAGAGCUGGUGAGGCAGUAAUGUGGAGGUACAAAGGGCAGAGACAUGGCAGAAGAACCUGUGCCAGGGUGAAGUGGGACUGUAUAUUAAAUUAAGUUAAUGAGGUCAAAUCAAUUAGCCAUCUUACAGGAGAUAGACUGAAUCCCUAGGGACCCAAAUGUUGGAAGAAAAGUGUUGGGAGCACCUUCAGCUUCAGAGUAUGACUGCUUGGUUCCUACUAUAUAAAAUAACAGAGGCAGUAGGGGAGCCAGCAAGUGCAAUACUGAAGCUUUCCAGGGAGCACACAUGGAGUACAUUUAAUUAGAUAAAAUGGGGCAGCACAACAGAAGCCUUCAUAAAGUCAGACUCUCAGAACAAUAUAUGCUGUGUUGGUCCACCUUCCCCUGUCUCACAUCCAUGCUGGGAUCAGGUAGGCUGUCCCAAGCAUUUCCCUGCUUCUGAACAUGGCUUGCAUUGAAACUGCUGAAGACAGAGCUGGCCGGAGCCCCAGUGCAUUUUAAUGCCCAUGCACUUUCAGCAGGGAGAGCGUGAAAGGAGCUUGGAGCAGCUGGAGGAGCUGUAGGCAGGGAGACAAGGAGUUCCCUGAAGAGCUCCAGGCAUCGACAGAGCAGACCACUGUCCCAGCAUAGCCUUGUCUGCAGCAGAGGCCAGGAGCAGGAGCAAGAGUCCCUGGGAAGGUGCAGUGAUCAGGAAUUGGGAAUGAGCCUUCUAUUUCUAUUUUGUUUCUCUGAUUACUUAAUAUUUUCCCUAUUAAAAAUGUUAACUUAAUUCCAGAAUGAAGCAUGAAGCUAAUGUUCCAAAUUUGUAUUGAUUUGGCUUUCUUGAUUUAAAUAAAACAAAGGCUUUUUGGGGAGGUGGUCUGAUCUGGGCAAUGCUUUCUGAGUACCCCACAAUAGCAGAAUUGUUCCAGCUCAGCAGGGAAGAGGCUUGGACUGUCCUUGAGCUAUGGGGGUGGCAGCUGUAGAGAGGGAAGAGCUUUUUGUGGGGAGGGUGUUGUUGAGCAUUUCCUCAACCCUUAUUUAUGCAUCCUUUGUGGAUCUGAAACAGUAACAGAAGUAGGAUAGCUCUGGCCAUCUGAGCUUGAUGAUGUGGCAGAGAUGCCUUCCAUGGGCUGACAGAAAUUAAUCACAAUGUCUAAAACUGAAGGGGCUUUUAACAAAAGAGACUUGUUACAUGCAGGGAGAUGAGAUACAUUUAUUCCCUUCAGGUGUAGUUCAUGAGCUUGAGUCCUGCACCCUGCUCUUUGUAUAGCAGUGGGCAACUUGAAUCCACCUCACCAUCAUGUCAGCCCUCUUCCUCAUCCCUUGGCUGCACAGGAGGCAUUGAACAUGACCCAGAGUGGCUUAUGUUGCAGAGUUAAAAUUUGCAGUGAGCAAAGCUGUGGUGGUUAAAUGGUAUUUCUUUCUCCAUCUCUCCCAGUGCUGCCUCUUGGUGCUGUAGGUGCUCUUCCUCACUCUGGGGUGUGCUUCUGUCUUUGAAAGUUCCGUCUUGCAUCUUCUAUAUCCAACCUGACUCCUUCUGCCUGACCAGGUUACCUGUUUCUCACAAAGCACUUGGGAGACAGAGAGGGUUUAUAAGGAUUGUGAGUCUUUUCCUCAGUUAAAUUAGGCUUCCUGGGACACGACGCAUGAGAAGCCAUCAGCAGAAUGCAUGCAGCAGCAUGUCCCUGCUGCUCUGGCUUCUCAGGAGUGGGAAUGGCUUUGCUGUGGCAUUUACUUAGUAGGACUUGAUGUGCUCUGACAUAUGCAGUGGUGACAAACUGGUAGUCCCUUUUUCCAUGCCUAGGGACACAGUGUGUUGGCAAGAUGGAAGGGUGCUCAGAAAACAAGUUUCACAGUACUGAUGCAGUUUUGCAGAGUUGGAUCUCCUUGUAACAAAUUGGUUGUAAGAGGAAAUUUAUAAUGCUGUAUCCCAAAGGUACCCUUUAAAACACCAGCUAUUUUAACACUGGGAAAUGACAUGCAUCUCAAGAGGUUUGAAGUGGUUUUUUAGCAAUCACUUCAUUAAAGAUUUUAGGAGAUGGAAGUCCUUGUAAUAGCAGCAUUCAAAGUUUGAAUCAAACCCAUGUUACUGUCACUUGGACAGAAGUGGUUUUGCAGAUGCUGUUCCAGCUGCAAGUAGUAUAUUUACAGCUCAAAUUUAGGGAAGCCAAAGACUGCAGUAAUGGCAAUGGGAAUUCCAAGCAGGUAACUUGUAGGAAAACUCUGGUUAGAGGUCUUGUUAAACUUUCUACUACUUGUAUUUUUUCAUGGGAGUGACAGAUGGGAGCUAGUUUUGUGGAGGAAUGGGAAAUGGGAGUAGCCAAAACCAGCAAAACUUAAGUGGAGGGAGGUGGGAAGCCAAAACAUGGCUUUUGGGGCUAUGCCACUUAUAUAUGAUAGUUGACUUGAAAGCCAUAAAGGAAGUACAAUGCAAAGGUCGAAUGACUCUUCAAAAAACAAGGUCACAUAAUAUUUAUGUUUUCUGCUAGAAAGCAGCCUCUUCUCUGUGCUCCUGUAAAUCAUCUACCAUUAACAGGGGAAAUAAGUCUAUGAACACACAUAAAAGCACAACCACUUUUCAGAAGAACUGGUAUGAGCUCCUGCUCACGUGUGCAGUGUGUGAUACUCAGUCACUGACAGGCUCACUGACACUCCCUUUUGGCAUAAUAUUCCUGGUCCUCACCAUGAAUGCUGCCAUCUGAGGGGAAGAUUCUCCACAAAAACAGUAGACAGACAGAUAGGCAUUUGGUAUGAUUUUCACCAAGAAAUCAAGCAGGAGGGUGUAAAAUGAAAUAGUGGACAAGCUGAACAGUGGCUCUUGGGCUGAUUUUCUGGGAGGCGGCUUCUUCAACCUGCUGCACACAUCUCUCCAGUAAAUGUGGCAGUAACUGUAAAGUAAGAAUAACCCAAGAAACUCAAAGAUGAAGAGAAAAGAGAACACAAGAAAAGCUGCUUCAGGGUACAGACUGAGGAGAUAAGAGAUUUCUAUUGUCAUAAAGUAGUUUUUCCCAUAAAAAAGCAGGUAAGAGCACAUUGUUCAGAAAAUGGUGGAACUAUAUUAUUUUGAAUCAAGAACUUCUCCUUGGAGCUGGUCAUCUGCUUAGUGAGAAGUGGCUUCAUAGACACCAUGGGGAAUUCUUUUCCCUAGUCAAGAGGUUGAGCCGUGAGAGUGCAAUUGAAUUUCCUUUCACUUGCCAAACUAAGUCCUGAAGCACUGAAGAGGUAUUUUGCUCAGGUUUUGUUGGAUUUCUCCAGUUCCAGCCACUCCAAUGCCAUCACCUCCCUGCCAGACUUCAGGAAGCGAUUUCUGAUUUUUUUUCAGAAGUGAAGCAAAACAGAAUUGCCAAACCCACCUGAAAUCAGUGCAGCCAAAGGUAACUGCUUCGCAAACCUUGCUCUCAGUGCACAAGUCUUCAUGGGUUAACUGUUACAUAUUGUUCAUAAAAUGCACUUUUGUCAGAAAAUAUUUAUGUUAGCAGCUGUACCGGCAAGGUUACUACCAAAAUAUCCUUCUGUGCUUUGGGGUCUGGUUGUUGGUUUAUUUGUUUUGUUCUUGUUUGGUUUUUUUUUAAUCCUCAUCCUGUUCUAAAUAUGGGAAUGAUUCAUUCCUCUCUUUCUGUUUAAUUUCACUUCAGCCUACUGUUUUCUGUUUCAGAUGAAAGGAAAGCUAGUUUGUUCAUAAGGAAAAUAUGACUGCAUAAGCUUGGCACUCAGAAGACAGAACUAGACCUGUUUGUAUCUUAGAAUCGUAGAAUUGUAGAAUGGUUUGGAUUGGAAGGGACCCUAAAGAUCAUCUAGUCCCAACCUUCCUGCCAUAAUCAUGGACAUUUUCCACUAGACCAGGCUGCUCCAAGCCCCAUCCAACCUGGCUUGGAACAAUUCCAGGAAUGGGGCAUCCACAGCUUCUCUGGGCAAUGUGUUCCAGUGCCUCACCAUCCCCACAGGGAAGAAUUUCUUCCCAAUAUGUAAUCUACACCCACCUUCUGUCAGUUUGAAGCCACUCCCCUUUGUCCUGUCACUACAUGCCCUUGUCCAAAGUUUGCCUCCAGCUCUCUUGUAGCCCUUUUAGAUACUGGAUUCUGAGUAAGGCUGGCAUAUAAUGGUUGAAAGAGCAAAACCAAUGAAGUUACCACAACAUGAAUUACCUUGAAAUUACCUAUAGCUGAACUCACUUGCCCUAUAGGCCCCUGAUCUUAUAGCCUGUGGCAGUGGUUAUCUUAUAGCAGGUACAAAUGGAUGGAAAUGGCAACAAGGAAAAAUAAUUUGAUAUAGCAGCAGCCACUGAACACAGUUUGAGGACCCAGGGCUCUACUUUCAAGAAAAAAGUUGUCUUCCUUGCUAGAAUAGUGUGCAAACAUUUCUUGAUCAUCUUCCUAUAUUAAAAUUACUGAGGGAAUUACCAGUGCGGUGAAAAGGGUGAGGGCUUCUAUAGGUUAACACACAGGAUCAGAGCCUCAACCAAACUCAGCCACUGUAAGAAAGGAGAUUUUUUUCUAGCCAUGACACAUAAUUUAAUUUACAGUUCUGUGCAGAAAGGGUGAUCAGUGGUAAAUUCCCAAAUCCAGCACCCUGAGACACAAAAAAGCAGGCCUACUUAUACAGUUACAAUCUUAAGCUAUUAGCAUUUCUUACUGAAGUCACUACUUGGCUAAAUUGUUAUUGGCUCAUCCUUUCUCUGCUUUGAAUUAAAGCCAUUGUGUCCUAAGAAAUCACAGUGCA
Long non-coding RNA from Pseudopipra pipra, 10722 nucleotides. RefSeq lists it as uncharacterized. Lineage: Eukaryota; Metazoa; Chordata; Aves; Passeriformes; Pipridae. The transcript has 2 exons. The record is from RefSeq and is a predicted model, not a curated record.